GGCGGGAUAAGCUGUUAUUAUAUUUUCCGCGCGUAGGUGUGCUGGUAUACGGAAUGUAUGUUUUUGUCACCUCUCGUGCACUGUUUUCCGCUGGCGAUAUUAUAAUAAUAAUAUGUACCUAGGCGUAGCCGUGGUUUACUACGAGUCCGCGUCGAUGGGAUUCCACCGAGGUACGCAUUUUUCAAAACUACGUAACAUUAUUCCCUCUACUGCGGACGUCGGUUUUAAAAAGACGAACGAUUAAAUCAAAAAUAGACGCGACGGUGUGACAAUUAAUCGAAUAAAAAUUCAUCGAUUUUAUUUUACCACUUCAUAUUAUCCAUUCUGUAUGUUUACUCUGUUCAAGCAUUUUUUUGUUGUUGCAAAUGUGCAGUUGUUCAUACAAUGCUUUAUUGAUGAAACUAAAUAAUUCUGAAAAGAAUGUAAAAUGUAUUGGUUUUUCAAUAAAGUGUUUAAAAAAAAAAUGUUUAUUUAUUUUUGGGACACUAAAAUAAGCUCAAACAGUUUGAUACAGUUUCUAUCGAGAUUGAAUAUUGAACACAGAUGGUACUUUAAAAGACAAAUGUUCGCCAUUUUUGGUUAUACCAAGCUCUACUCAAAAUCGCUUCUCGGAUGCAAUGAUUUAUCAUUGCUUUUAAAUAUAAAGACACUCGCUAUUAUGGCCCAUCCAAAUUUAUUACCAUCAGUAUUCAGUACUUUUUUAUUCAGUAAUGGUACGCAAACAUUUUCGUAAAUGACAUAAGAAAUAUCCAUUGUUCAAUCGACAAGUAUAAUUGGAUGGUUUUAUAUAUUUAAAUGUGUUGUUAUUAAAUGUAAUAUAAAGUAAUAACGAUUUUAUUUAAAAACUCUUUUUCUGUUAUAUAUAAUAUUAUAUAAAUUAUAAAUCCGCAUUAUCUUAAAACAAUUCAACAUUAAUAUUAUUUGCAUAUUUCCACAAUUUUUUUAUUAAAAAUAUUAGUCAUGGUUUUAUUUUCAACUGGUUA
This is a long non-coding RNA of Aphis gossypii (cotton aphid), 983 nucleotides long. RefSeq lists it as uncharacterized. NCBI's taxonomy places the organism in Eukaryota, Metazoa, Arthropoda, Insecta, Hemiptera, Aphididae. The transcript is spliced from 4 exons. The record is from RefSeq and is a predicted model, not a curated record.